RNAcentral lists this ribosomal RNA (258 nucleotides) under uncultured Gardnerella sp. RNAcentral describes it as "partial 16S ribosomal RNA". It matches the Rfam family "Bacterial small subunit ribosomal RNA", at positions 98 to 356 of the family's 1533-position model. The record is from RNAcentral. Lineage: Bacteria; Bacillati; Actinomycetota; Actinomycetes; Bifidobacteriales; Bifidobacteriaceae.
CGGAACGGGUGAGUAAUGCGUGACCAACCUGCCCCAUGCUCCAGAAUAGCUCUUGGAAACGGGUGGUAAUGCUGGAUGCUCCAACUUGACGCAUGUCUUGUUGGGAAAGUGUUUAGUGGCAUGGGAUGGGGUCGCGUCCUAUCAGCUUGUAGGCGGGGUAAUGGCCCACCUAGGCUUCGACGGGUAGCCGGCCUGAGAGGGCGGACGGCCACAUUGGGACUGAGAUACGGCCCAGACUCCUACGGGAGGGCAGCAGCG